This 207-nucleotide ribosomal RNA is filed under the name uncultured bacterium. Its description in RNAcentral is "partial 16S ribosomal RNA". It matches the Rfam family "Bacterial small subunit ribosomal RNA", at positions 60 to 242 of the family's 1533-position model. The record is from RNAcentral.
UGCAGUCGUACGCUUCUUUUUCCACCGGAGCUUGCUCCACCGGAAAAAGAGGAGUGGCGAACGGGUGAGUAACACGUGGGUAACCUGCCCAUCAGAAGGGGAUAACACUUGGAAACAGGUGCUAAUACCGUAUAACAAUCGAAACCGCAUGGUUUUGAUUUGAAAGGCGCUUUCGGGUGUCGCUGAUGGAUGGACCCGCGGUGCAUU